This 1887-nucleotide unclassified non-coding RNA is filed under the name uncultured fungus. Its description in RNAcentral is "sequence contains 18S rRNA gene, ITS1, 5.8S rRNA gene, ITS2, 28S rRNA gene". The stretch from base 757 to 1887 matches the Rfam family "Eukaryotic large subunit ribosomal RNA", at positions 1 to 961 of the family's 3401-position model. Lineage: Eukaryota; Fungi. The record is from RNAcentral.
GGAAGGAUCAUUAACACGUAUCCAAACGUACCAACCCCCCCCUUUAUACGAACCCACAACCCGCUCGCCGACUCGUGUUUUUCUGUUCUUUGAACAAAAAACAGCCCUGCCACUGGGAACGGUGGCGGCGCGCUGGACUCUUUUUGCGCAAGCAGAGAGAGACGCACAGUCCUUGAGCCUAUUUUUUAUAUUUCAAUCAACCCAUUCUCUGGUUUGACGAAAAUGAACACUUCUUGCUGUGUGGCGCCCUCAAAAAGCGACACGCCAGGAUUUUAUUUAUUGAACGCUGAACAACUUUUAGCAACGGAUGUCUUGGUUCUCGCAACGAUGAAGAACGCAGCGAAAUGCGAUACGUAAUGUGAAUUGCAGAAUUCAGUGAAUCAUCGAAUCUUUGAACGCAAAUUGCACUUCGGGGAAUCCCUGGAGUAUGCCUCUUUGAGUAUCGGUUCCCAUCUAUCUCGCCAGCACUUCGUGUGCGACCGAGAAGAGAGUGGGCGUUUCGCCUUUUACCAGGCGCAUCGCCUCAAGUGUACGGUUACAGCUCUUUGUGCUGCUGUAUGCGUGGAAAGAUAGGCGGCCUCGCGCUGCUCUUUUUGCCAGUUGCUCCUCACGGAGUGUCUGGCUAUCUUUUUCUCUGCUACAGCUGGCCGCUCUGCUCACUCUCGUAGUGAGCAGGGCGAGAGACUCUGUCUGCCGACACGCCGCUGGCCCCGCUUUUAAGCGGCCCGGUGGCGAGUCAACAUACAACAACCAAUCUGAUCUCAAAUGAAGUAAGAGGACCCCCUGAAUUUAAGCAUAUCAUUAAGGGGAGGAAAAGAAACUAACAAGGAUUCCCCUAGUAACGGCGAGUGAAGCGGGAGAAGCUCAAGCUUAAAAUCGGUUGCCCUCGCGGUGAUCGAAUUGUAGUCUAGAGAAGUUGUGGUCAGCGCGUGGCCCGGACCUAAGUCCUUUGGAACAGGGCGUCAGAGAGGGUGAGAACCCCGUCUUUGGUUCGGAGACCGCCGCGUACGAUGCGCUUUCGAAGAGUCGGGUUGCUUGGGACUGCAGCCCUAAUUGGAUGGUAAAUUUCAUCUAAAGCUAAAUAUUGGCGAGAGACCGAUAGCGAAACAAGUACCGUGAGGGAAAGAUGAAAAGAACUUUGAAAAGAGAGUUAAAAAGUGCCUGAAAUUGCUAAAAGGGAAGCGAUGAAAAUCAGUCGUGUGGGCGUAGUCAAAUUCCUCCAGGCACCGGAUCUGUGCGGGCGAGCACCGCAAGGGCUCGCCCGUUCCGUGAAGAGUGCCUGCAGUUUCUGAUUGCGUCCGAGUUCCAGGAUCAAUUCGGCGCAUCGCAGAACCGCCCUGGGAAGGUAGGUUAGAUGGGGCAACCCUGACAACUGUUAUAGCCCUAGGUAGUGUGCGCGUGUGCUGGAUUGAGGCUUCUAUCGAAGGCAAGGCGCGUCUCGAAACGGUUGCGCCCCGGGUCGUGAGGAGGCUGGAAUGCAAUGCAUUGCUGACUCCGUAACGGCUUGCUGGCGUGGCCCUCUUUCUGCGCUUUCGCGAUCCUGGAGAAAUGGUUUUCACCGACCCGUCUUGAAACACGGACCAAGGAGUCUAACAUAUAUGCGAGUAUUUGGGUGCAAAACCCUGAUGCGCAAUGAAAGUGAAGGCAGGCGAUUUCGUCUGCUGAAGUGUGAUCCGCAAGGAGCAACAUUGACCGAUCAGUCAUUUAUGAAAGAUUUGAGUAAAAGCAUAUCUGUCGGGACCCGAAAGAUGGUGAACUAUGCCUGGACAGGGCGAAGCCAGGGGAAACUCUGGUGGAGGCUCGUAGCGAUACUGACGUGCAAAUCGUUCGUCUGAUCUGGGUAUAGGGGCGAAAGACUAAUCGAACCAUCUAGUAGCUGGUUCCCUC